This 560-nucleotide ribosomal RNA is filed under the name bacterium w1cb42. RNAcentral describes it as "bacterial SSU rRNA". It matches the Rfam family "Bacterial small subunit ribosomal RNA", at positions 30 to 638 of the family's 1533-position model. The record is from RNAcentral.
CGAACGCUGGCGGCAGGCCUAACACAUGCAAGUCGAGCGCGCCUUCGGGUGAGCGGCGGACGGGUUAGUAACGCGUGGGAACGUGCCCUUCUCUACGGAAUAGCCAUUGGAAACGAUGAGUAAUACCGUAUACGCCCUUCGGGGGAAAGAUUUAUCGGAGAAGGAUCGGCCCGCGUUAGAUUAGAUAGUUGGUGGGGUAAUGGCCUACCAAGUCUACGAUCUAUAGCUGGUUUUAGAGGAUGAUCAGCAACACUGGGACUGAGACACGGCCCAGACUCCUACGGGAGGCAGCAGUGGGGAAUCUUAGACAAUGGGCGAAAGCCUGAUCUAGCCAUGCCGCGUGAGUGAUGAAGGCCUUAGGGUCGUAAAGCUCUUUCGCCAGGGAUGAUAAUGACAGUACCUGGUAAAGAAACCCCGGCUAACUCCGUGCCAGCAGCCGCGGUAAUACGGAGGGGGUUAGCGUUGUUCGGAAUUACUGGGCGUAAAGCGCGCGUAGGCGGAUUGGAAAGUUGGGGGUGAAAUCCCGGGGCUCAACCCCGGAACUGCCUCCAAAACUACCA